AUUGAACGCUGGCGGCAUGCCUUACACAUGCAAGUCGAACGGUAACAGGUCUUCGGAUGCUGACGAGUGGCGAACGGGUGAGUAAUACAUCGGAACGUGCCCGAUCGUGGGGGAUAACGAAGCGAAAGCUUUGCUAAUACCGCAUACGAUCUACGGAUGAAAGCAGGGGACCGCAAGGCCUUGCGCGAACGGGGCGGCCGAUGUCAGAUUAGGUAGUUGGUGGGAUAAAAGCUUACCAAGCCGACGAUCUGUAGCUGGUCUGAGAGGACGACCAGCCACACUGGGACUGAGACACGGCCCAGACUCCUACGGGAGGCAGCAGUGGGGAAUUUUGGACAAUGGGCGAAAGCCUGAUCCAGCCAUGCCGCGUGCAGGAUGAAGGCCUUCGGGUUGUAAACUGCUUUUGUACGGAACGAAAAGACUCUGGUUAAUACCUGGGGUCCAUGACGGUACCGUAAGAAUAAGCACCGGCUAACUACGUG
This 482-nucleotide ribosomal RNA is filed under the name uncultured bacterium. Its description in RNAcentral is "partial 16S ribosomal RNA". It matches the Rfam family "Bacterial small subunit ribosomal RNA", at positions 30 to 507 of the family's 1533-position model. The record is from RNAcentral.